This 460-nucleotide ribosomal RNA is filed under the name uncultured bacterium. RNAcentral describes it as "partial 16S ribosomal RNA". It matches the Rfam family "Bacterial small subunit ribosomal RNA", at positions 338 to 795 of the family's 1533-position model. The record is from RNAcentral.
CCUACGGGAGGCAGCAGUGAGGAAUAUUGGUCAAUGGACGAGAGUCUGAACCAGCCAAGUAGCGUGAAGGAUGACUGCCCUAUGGGUUGUAAACUUCUUUUAUAUGGGAAUAAAACAGGGUAUGCAUACCCUCAUGUAUGUACCAUAUGAAUAAGGAUCGGCUAACUCCGUGCCAGCAGCCGCGGUAAUACGGAGGAUCCGAGCGUUAUCCGGAUUUAUUGGGUUUAAAGGGAGCGUAGGUGGAUUGUUAAGUCAGUUGUGAAAGUUGGCGGCUCAACCGUAAAAUUGCAGUUGAAACUGGCAGUAUUGAGUACAGUAGAGGUGGGCGGAAUUCGUGGUGUAGCGGUGAAAUGCUUAGAUAUCACGAAGAACUCCGAUUGCGAAGGCAGCUCACUGGACUGCAACUGACACUGAUGCUCGAAAGUGUGGGUAUCAAACAGGAUUAGAUACCCUUGUAGUC